This 849-nucleotide long non-coding RNA is filed under the name Felis catus (domestic cat). Its description in RNAcentral is "lncRNA (ENSFCAG00000050361.1)". Lineage: Eukaryota; Metazoa; Chordata; Mammalia; Carnivora; Felidae. The record is from RNAcentral.
UGGGGGAGGGGCAGAGAGACAGGGAGACACAGAAUCGGAAGCAGGCUCCAGGCUCUGAGCUGUCAGCACAGAACCCGAGGCGGGGCUAGAACUCACGGACCGUGAGAUCGUGACCUGAGCUGAAGUCGGACGCUUAACCGACUAAGCCGCCCAGGUGCCCCUGAAAUUGUGUUUUCUUGUAGACAUACUCCAAUAGCUACAGAAACCAGCUCCCUGUUGAGGAUGAUGGAAAUUUUUGCUUGACACGGACUCUAAGAUUGCCAACGCCUCUCCCUCUGGCUAGAGCCAGAUAGAGAUCCCCUGCUGACUACCAGGAAACGGGGAGUGCUGUAGAUCGAAUUCCACACUUACAUAAUACGACAGCAAGAUCAGUUGCGUGCGCAUGAUCGCCAGGGUUCCCCUUCCCCCUGACCCUUGAAACGGAGCAGAGUUCCUGAAAACAUUCCAGUUGAAAUGAUAAGGCCAGUUCGUAUGGUCCCUGGAAGAAAGCCGUUGCAGGAAAGUAUUCGAGUGUCCCUAUUCUGGGAAAACCGAUGGCUAUCAGAAACCCAGUGUUUGCCACGGCGACCAGGGAAAACACAGAUCUUCCUCGCAAAACCCGACGAGCAGCCAACAUGCACAAUGGAAGGGACACAUAAGUGAUAAUCAUGGGUGAGCUGGGGGGACAGUCCCCCUGGCAGGCCUGCAAGGUGGGCUUGGCCUCAAUAUGAGUAAUGGGUCCUUCCCAGUGUAACCUUGACGGUCCUCAGCACCCUGGAAACAGCCGGUGUGGGAGAGAUCCCUGAGUCUUAGUGGGAGAGACUGAUGUCCACCUGCUACAGAGACGUGACAUUUGGCUCGUCCCACUGU